This 180-nucleotide small nuclear RNA is filed under the name Suricata suricatta (meerkat). RNAcentral's name for it is "U2 spliceosomal RNA (ENSSSUG00005008649.1)". It matches the Rfam family "U2 spliceosomal RNA". From Rfam's summary of the family: U2 is a small nuclear RNA (snRNA) component of the spliceosome (involved in pre-mRNA splicing). Complementary binding between U2 snRNA (in an area lying towards the 5' end but 3' to hairpin I) and the branchpoint sequence (BPS) of the intron results the bulging out of an unpaired adenosine, on the BPS, which initiates a nucleophilic attack at the intronic 5' splice site, thus starting the first of two transesterification reactions that mediate splicing. The record is from Rfam by way of RNAcentral. Lineage: Eukaryota; Metazoa; Chordata; Mammalia; Carnivora; Herpestidae.
AUUGAUUCUCAGCUUUUUGGCUAGGAUCAAGUGUCGUAUCUGUUCUUAACAGAUACUUCCUCUAUCUGAGGACAAUAUAUUAAAUGGAGUUUUGGAGCAGGGAGAUGGAACAGAAGCUUGCUCCGUCCACUCCAGGCGUCAACCUGGAAUUGCAGCACUUCCAGAAAUGGUGCACACAAA